CAGUCGCCACGGUAAUACAGAGGGUGCGAGCGUUAAUCGGAUUUACUGGGCGUAAAGCGUGUGUAGGUUGUUGUUCAAGUCAGUUGUGAAAUCCCUGGGCUCAACCUGGGAACUGCUUCUGAGACUGAACGACUAGAGUACGGUAGAGGGUGGUGGAAUUUCCGGUGUAGCGGUGAAAUGCGUAGAUAUCGGAAGGAACAUCAAUGGCGAAGGCAGCCACCUGGGCCUGUACUGACACUGAGACACGAAAGCGUGGGGAGCAAACAGGAUUAGAUACCCCCGUAGUCCCUGUCUCUUAUAC
Molecule: ribosomal RNA, 301 nt
Filed under: uncultured bacterium
Lineage: Bacteria
Description: partial 16S ribosomal RNA
Rfam family: Bacterial small subunit ribosomal RNA
Source: RNAcentral